CACGUAGGGUGCGAGCGUUGUCCGGAAUUAUUGGGCGUAAAGAGCUCGUAGGCGGUGUGUCGCGUCGGCCGUGAAAACCUGCAGCUUAACUGUGGGCGUGCGGUCGAUACGGGCAUCACUGGAGUUCGGCAGGGGAGACUGGAAUUCCUGGUGUAGCGGUGAAAUGCGCAGAUAUCAGGAGGAACACCGGUGGCAAAGGCGGGUCUCUGGGCCGAUACUGACGCUGAGGAGCGAAAGCGUGGGGAGCGAACAGG
RNAcentral lists this ribosomal RNA (254 nucleotides) under uncultured bacterium. RNAcentral's name for it is "partial 16S ribosomal RNA". It matches the Rfam family "Bacterial small subunit ribosomal RNA", at positions 524 to 776 of the family's 1533-position model. The record is from RNAcentral.